RNAcentral lists this long non-coding RNA (1369 nucleotides) under Scleropages formosus (Asian bonytongue). RNAcentral describes it as "lncRNA (ENSSFOG00015025608.1)". Lineage: Eukaryota; Metazoa; Chordata; Actinopteri; Osteoglossiformes; Osteoglossidae. The record is from RNAcentral.
CGCAGCACUUAGUAUGAAUGUGUGUGUUUUUACCACGGUGCCAGAAGAACCAGAGAGAAGCCCCAAAGAGGAAUGUAAAUGAAACAGCGCACAGCUGGGAAGGUGUUUCCUCCUGUACACUGGUUUGUACACUGGUUUGUACCCCAGUACUGUAUGGGACAUCCGGAGCGGACUGAACUCCAGACCAGUGUCAGUGCCAGUGUCCAAAAAGCUCCUCGCGCUCCAUGAUCAUGUUCCUCCCAACUCUUUUUUGUUCUUUUUCUUCUUUCUUUUUAGUGUCUGAAUGAGGAGGGAAGAAGAAGAGCAGAAUCACAUUUCGGACCUUGGACUGGCCGGGGGGGGGGGUAGAGUGCUGUCACAGCUGGAUGUUGUGGAUCACGCGCACACUCCUAUUUACUGCGCUCCCAACAUCUGGAUUUCAUCAUCAGAGCGCACCGCGCCCACAUUUACUCUGCUUUACUCUACACUCGGGUCUCUUUCGCAGUAAACCGGGGAAAGGAGAUGAUUAUAAUCAUGUGUUCGCUGCCGCCAGCAGCUCUGUGUCUCUUCGUGCUCCUCUUCACCGCUCUUCCGAGCCUCGUGACGGCCAACGUGGUCCAGGAGCGCGCCGCUCUUGAUGAAGAGAAAUUCCUUCGGCUCAGUUGUGGAACAUACCAAGAAAAUUAUGAUGUGAUCUGGAAAAAAGAAGGGCAAGAAGUUGCUAGCAUAAAGAAGGGAAUCAAAUCACUGCAGGAAAAUUUUGGCUUAACAGAGCGUGGAACCCUUGUGGUGUCCGAAGUGCGCAGGUCCGACGCAGGAGAAUACACCGCGAUGCUGCUUGACAGCUCGCAAAACAAAUUGUGUGAAAUGACUGUGCAGCUGAGUGUGUCAGAUUCCAGUGACCCCCCACCUGAGCCAACAAAGAAACCUGAGAAAAGCCCACCUAAAGAUCCCAAAGCACCACCCCCCCAUAAGCCAAAACCUGGACUGGCCAAACCUAGAGCUUCUGCUUCCAUCAUCACUGCAAGCAUCUCUGCUCAUGUGAUACUGUUAUUGGUGUGGAUUUUGGUGUGAAAAGGUUCCAGGCCAUGAUUUCCACACCUUGAGAAUUCCCAGGUCAGUCUCAGUGAGUACCUCCUGCUCGACUGAGUAUAAUGCGGUUUCCUACGGUAAAGUUACCCAUAUACGGCACAGGUCCCCUCCCCUAUUGCUGCAGUUAUAAACUCUGUCCUGUGGACUAAAACUUUAUAUUGUUGGUCAUGAAGAGCCUCCAGGUAUAAAUCCGUUCAAUUUCAUGACACAAUUAAAACAUGUUUUUUUGCAAUCUUUAAACUUCUAGCCAUUACUUGCUGUCUGUAUCAUAGCCACUUGUGCAACAUCUGACUGUGUG